Long non-coding RNA from Homo sapiens (human), 382 nucleotides. RefSeq lists it as uncharacterized. Lineage: Eukaryota; Metazoa; Chordata; Mammalia; Primates; Hominidae. The transcript is spliced from 3 exons. The record is from RefSeq and is a predicted model, not a curated record.
GCAAGACAAUGACUGAAGGGUGAAUGAUAUAUCUUCCAUGGAAAAACAGAUGUGCUCAAAGGAGAGAUGUCUUAAUGGAAAAGCAUGACUGAAGCAUAAAUGGAAACUUUCCUCAAAGAAGAGAUCUGGAAAGGUUAUGGUCAUCACUAAACUUACAGAAAACCAAAAAGAAAAUAAUACGAAGGAGGCACAGACAAAGAAGAGUUUAGAUGCAUAUUUUAAACUACCAAACUGGUUUAAAAUAACUUAUGAUGAAAGGGUCACUUAAGAAGGGCACUGCUUAAAAUUUAAGCAGGCAGUAAUGGAAAGCGACAGACCUCAAACAAUUUAAGCCUUUCACAGUUGAGUGAAUUCACAGUGACAGCAAGAUGAGAAUGUGCUA